CGUGCAAUCAUAUUGGAGAAAAAGACCAUGUCGACCCAUUACUCCUCAGUAUUCAAAUCUUCAAAAUCAAUUCCAGUGUUCUUUAAAAACUGAUUGAGAUCAGAAACUUUCCUCUUCAUGAAAAACGUGAAAAUAAAUUCCCAUUUUCCAGCAUUAAUUCCAUACUCAUCAGUGUAUGACCCAAUUAGUGUAUAUUGAAAACUCAUUCCAGCGUUGAGGAUUGUUACCUAGAAAUCCAGGGAACUCGUUGCCCAUGGAAACCAUCCGGUGUUGAUAAAAAGCUGCAUCGAUAAUGUGAAGCUCUGCCAUGAAAUUGGAAGCCCCCUAAUCUGUCACAUUGCUCAGUUAUUAGCUUGUUGCUUUGUUGCUUUCUUGAAGACCUUGGCUUGUUCUUUGAAAGAAGACGUUCCAUUAUUGUUGUUAUUAUUAUUACAACGUAAGAUAUCUCAUUUUGUAUGAACCGCCAAAAAGGAUCGAAAGACAGACCACAAGAUGGCGAAAUCGAUGGUCUCCACAAACCAAGCGACACGAACACAAUUUCCCUGCGAAGAAAGGAUACAAGAAAAAUGCAAUUUUUUUUCCUCUUUCCUUUCUUUUUCCCUUCCUUUCAAUUCUUCUACUUCACCAAGAAUCUUACGUUGUUUUGGCAUCUGAGUUGGAUAACUGCAAGAUCACGGUACGGCGAUUUAUGUGAAUUCGGUGCAGCAUUGGAGUCAGAAUCGUCCUUCUCGGAAUUAGAAUGCAUUUGGCAAUGCAGAGGCUGUUAGAAAUAACAAUUCCAGCCAUUUCGGGAAAUUUGUUGAAAUUCAAUUUGAUGAGAGUGGAAGAAUAUCAGGGCAGCCAUCAGAACUUACCUUCUUAAGAGAUCUCGAGUUUGUCAAAUUUCAGAUCCUGAACGCAACCAGUACUGUUUUUACCUUUUAUAUGCUGCACCACAAGAGGAGGUUGAGAAGUAUAAGCUGGGAAAUCCUAUAUCGUUUCAUUAUCCUAACCAAUCCACUAGCUAUGAACUGGUUGGUGUUAAUGAUGCCCAUGAUUAUCUUGUCACUAGGAGAGCUAUGGAUAUUGUUGGAAUAAAUGAGGAAGAACAGGUCUGGCCUUUCUGUGUCUAUCAAAUUAUAUGCUUUUCAUGUUAUGUGUUUUUUUUUAUAUUUUUCUAAUUUAUAGUUUUUGUUAUAAUUUAUAUAAUGAGAGUGAUAUUAUGUCCUUAAGGCAGGGUUUGUGACUGCUAUUCUUCAUCUUGGUAAUAUUGAUUUUGCAAAGGAGGAAGACAUUGAUACAUCAGUCGUAAAAGAUGAGUGCAAAUUUCAUCUUCGAAUGACAGCAGAGCUUCUCAUGUGUGAUCCUCAUUCAUUGGAGGAUGCAUUAUGUCAGCGUGUAAUGAUAACCCCAGAAGAAAUUAUCAAGAAAAGUCUAGAUCCUCUUGGUGCAGCAAGAAACAGGAUGGUUUAGCCAAGACAAUAUAUUCUCGGUUGUUUCAUUGUUUUUAACAGUUUUGCAUUAAUUUAACAAAUGAAAAGCUGCAACAACAUUUCAACCAGGCGUGAGGGUAGUCAUAUUUGACUACUUUGGAAUGCUUAUGUCUGUCACUGUAUAAUCUUUGUGGUUGUGGUGCCAUUCAGGACGUGUUCAAGAUGGUUCAACAAGAGUAUAUAAAAGAGGAAAUUGAUUGGAGCUACAUAGAUUUUGUUGAUAACCAAGAUAUUCUGGACCUUAUUGAGAAGAAAACAGGUGGGAUCAUUGCCCUGCUUGAUGAAGCAUGUAUGUUUCCAAAGUCAACUCAUGAGACAUUUGCAGAGAAGCUUUAUCAGACUUGCAAAGAUCACAAGCGAUUUUUUAAGCCAAAACUCACUCGCACAGAUUUUACCAGUAGAAGCCUCUUUCAUUCAUUUUCUGAGGAGACAGCCAAACCAUCAAAAUUCUCCUCCAUCGGAUUGCGAUUUAAGCAACAACUGCAGCAGUUAAUGGAUACUCUAAACUCUACAGAGCCCCACUACAUUAGAUGUGUUAAACCAAAUAACACUUUAGAGCCUGCUAUAUUUGAUAGCAUCAAUGUCAUGCAACAACUACGUUCUGGUGGAGUUCUAGAGGCAAUCAGAAUCAAAUGUUCUCGAUACCCUACUUACAUGACUUUUUCUGAAGUCCUACACCGAUUUGGAAUGCUUGCACCAGAGAUUUGGAGGGGGAACUAUGAAGAGAAGGUAGCAUGCAAAUGGAUUUUUGAAAAGAUGGAGCUUACUGGGUAUCAGGAAAACACACUCGCCAAUUGUAUAAGGAAAUGAGACGAGGCAGCAGCUGUCAAAAUUCAGAGGAAUUUGUGUAGACAAUUGGCCAGAAGGUCAUAUAAUGAGAUUAAGUCCUCUGCUGUUGUCUUGCAAACAGGUUUACAUUCAGUGGCUGCACGUAGUGAAUUCAGAUUUAAAGAGCAAAUAAGGCAGCAACAGCUGUCCAGGCCUAUUGGCGCUCCCAUAGAGCUGUUUCAUGCUAUAAGAAUCUUAAGGAAUCAUCGGUUGUUUCACAAUGUAGUUGGAGAGAAAGAACAGCAGAGGGACAGGCUAUGCCCUUAAAUAUGGAGGUAGAAGAAGAUUCACUUGUGGAAAAAAAUGAUAAACUUGAAAAACAAGUGGAGGAACUCACAAGCCAUUUGCAAUCAGAAAAACAAUUGAGGAUUGAAUUGGAAGUAGCAAAAGGGCGAGAGAUAAUAACAUUGUUGCAUUCCCUGAAAAAUUUGCAAAACCAAGUUGAUGAAACGAAUGCUGUGCUUCUCAAAGAACGCAAGGAUGCAUAUAAAGAAAAUUUAGUACAUCCUUUCACCACAGAAGAUGAGAUGUUGAUAUAUGCUAUCCUUUUGAGAUAUUCCAUCAAUCUUCACAUUUUUCAGUUUUAAAUAAAUGUUGAAUUGGAGUGACUGAAAAAAGGAUGAGAGAUAUAAGAUAUAAAUGUGUAGUCAAAAUGAUUAUUUUCAAUCAAGAGCAAAGCUGAUAACCAUUGGGGAGGAAAAUCAGUUCUGAAAAUAGUUAAUCAAGCACAAUGAGAUUGAGAAAUUUGGUUUCUGAGUGAGAAAAAGAAAAAGAAGAAAUCAAUGUGAAUAGAAGAAAUCAAUGUGAAUAGAUUAUAUGAAUAUGGAUAGAUUAUAUGACCUUUCUCAUUGU
Molecule: RNA transcript, 3152 nt
Organism: Hevea brasiliensis (rubber tree)
Lineage: Eukaryota; Viridiplantae; Streptophyta; Magnoliopsida; Malpighiales; Euphorbiaceae
Gene name: myosin-16-like
Exons: 16
Source: RefSeq, a predicted model, not a curated record